Molecule: long non-coding RNA, 1242 nt
Organism: Zingiber officinale
Lineage: Eukaryota; Viridiplantae; Streptophyta; Magnoliopsida; Zingiberales; Zingiberaceae
Exons: 2
Source: RefSeq, a predicted model, not a curated record
GAAACCAACCCUAAGAAUCCAUAUCUAUAAAAUCUUCAUUAAUGGUAACAAGUUAUUGGUGUAUACAUAGAUAUUGUUAGAGAUCUUAGAUUUAAUUGAGUUAUUGGUGUAGUCAGUUUUGCUGCAUAUCAGUAGUACUAGAUUUAGGGUAUCAUGCAAUAUGCUAUUUUCCCCUAGACUCUUCAUGAUGUCUAAAACCCCUUUUCUAAGGUUAGGGUUUUCCAAAUGAGGUUUUCCACUCAGGAGGACAAGAAGCCGCCUCCUAUUUUUUAAAUUCUCCUCCUCUGUCUUUCCUUUAUGACAGAAAUUAAUCUUUGCAGAAGCCCCCCUUCUGCAUGCUGCUCUCCUGCACAUUGGUAUAAAAAAACUAUCCUCUAAGUCACACAAAGGCAACAUCUAACAAGAAGUCACAUAAUACCAUCGUUCAUCACAUGAAUCCUAGAUGAGAAGUCACACAAUAGCCUUGAUUUGAUGAACACAAGGGAUUGCCCAUGUCAACACCCGUUGGGCACAAGCACCCUAUAUGAGCUGCCUCUCUGUGCUUCCCAAGCUCUCCACUUAGGCUUCUUUGCUCAAUCUCACCACCUUCAAUCAAGGUGGGAACAACUGAAGCAAGUAUUACAAAUCAAGAGGUGACACUGCCCAUCUUCCGCAAUAAAUAAACCACAACGUUCAGCUACCAUCUUCUUCAGCAGAUCCGCUCCUUUGCUCACAGGUAAUGAAGCCUCUCUUCCAGGUGUCCUCUUCGAUCAUUUUGUUCAUGAAUGUUUCUAGAUCUUUGCUUAUAUGAGCUCAAUGGGAAUGUUGGUUGCAAGCUCCAUUAACUCCUAAGUUAUGCGAACCUGUAUCUCUCCACUUAGGCUUCUUUGCUCAAUCUCACCACCUUCAAUCAAGGUGGGAACAACUGAAGCAAGUAUUACAAAUCAAGAGGUGACACUGCCCAUCUUCCGCAAUAAAUAAACCACAACGUUCAGCUACCAUCUUCUUCAGCAGAUCCGCUCCUUUGCUCACAGGUAAUGAAGCCUCUCUUCCAGGUGUCCUCUUCGAUCAUUUUGUUCAUGAAUGUUUCUAGAUCUUUGCUUAUAUGAGCUCAAUGGGAAUGUUGGUUGCAAGCUCCAUUAACUCCUAAGUUAUGCGAACCUGUAUGUGAGUAUUAUGCUUUCCUUUCUGUAUUCUCAUAUCUAGUUUAUCUUUUUCUUAUGAGAAGUUCCUAGUUAUGUUGAACAAAUAUUAUUUAUAUUC